Molecule: ribosomal RNA, 512 nt
Filed under: uncultured bacterium
Lineage: Bacteria
Description: partial 16S ribosomal RNA
Rfam family: Bacterial small subunit ribosomal RNA
Source: RNAcentral
GAUGAACGCUGGCGGCGUGCCUAAUACAUGCAAGUCGAACGAAACUUCUUUAUCACCGAGUGCUUGCACUCACCGAUAAAGAGUUGAGUGGCGAACGGGUGAGUAACACGUGGGCAACCUGCCCAAACGAGGGGGAUAACACUUGGAAACAGGUUCUAAUACCGCAUAACCAUAGUUACCGCAUGGUAACUAUGUAAAAGGUGGCUAUACUACCGCUUUUGGAUGGGCCCGCGGCGCAUUAGCUAGUUGGUAGGGUAAAGGCUUACCAAGGCAAUGAUGCGUAGCCGAAUUGAGAGGUUGAUCGGCCACAUUGGGACUGAGACACGGCCCAAACUCCUACGGGAGGCAGCAGUAGGGAAUCUUCCACAAUGGGCGAAAGCCUGAUGGAGCAACGCCGCGUGGGUGAAGAAGGUCUUCGGAUCGUAAAACCCUGUUGUUAGAGAAGAAAGUGCGUGAGAGUAACUGUUCACGUUUCGACGGUAUCUAACCAGAAAGCCACGGCUAACUACGUG